UCCUGACUGACCGAUAGUGAACCAGUACCGUGAGGGAAAGGCGAAAAGAACCCCGGCGAGGGGAGUGAAAAAGAACCUGAAACCGUGUACGUACAAGCAGUGGGAGCACGCUUAGGCGUGUGACUGCGUACCUUUUGUAUAAUGGGUCAGCGACUUAUAUUCUGUAGCAAGGUUAACCGAAUAGGGGAGCCGAAGGGAAACCGAGUCUUAACUGGGCGUUAAGUUGCAGGGUAUAGACCCGAAACCCGGUGAUCUAGCCAUGGGCAGGUUGAAGGUUGGGUAACACUAACUGGAGGACCGAACCGACUAAUGUUGAAAAAUUAGCGGAUGACUUGUGGCUGGGGGUGAAAGGCCAAUCAAACCGGGAGAUAGCUGGUUCUCCCCGAAAGCUAUUUAGGUAGCGCCUCGUGAAUUCAUCUCCGGGGGUAGAGCACUGUUUCGGCAAGGGGGUCAUCCCGACUUACCAACCCGAUGCAAACUGCGAAUACCGGAGAAUGUUAUCACGGGAGACACACGGCGGGUGCUAACGUCCGUCGUGAAGAGGGAAACAACCCAGACCGCCAGCUAAGGUCCCAAAGUCAUGGUUAAGUGGGAAACGAUGUGGGAAGGCCCAGACAGCCAGGAUGUUGGCUUAGAAGCAGCCAUCAUUUAAAGAAAGCGUAAUAGCUCACUGGUCGAGUCGGCCUGCGCGGAAGAUGUAACGGGGCUAAACCAUGCACCGAAGCUGCGGCAGCGACGCUUAUGCGUUGUUGGGUAGGGGAGCGUUCUGUAAGCCUGCGAAGGUGUGCUGUGAGGCAUGCUGGAGGUAUCAGAAGUGCGAAUGCUGACAUAAGUAACGAUAAAGCGGGUGAAAAGCCCGCUCGCCGGAAGACCAAGGGUUCCUGUCCAACGUUAAUCGGGGCAGGGUGAGUCGACCCCUAAGGCGAGGCCGAAAGGCGUAGUCGAUGGGAAACAGGUUAAUAUUCCUGUACUUGGUGUUACUGCGAAGGGGGGACGGAGAAGGCUAUGUUGGCCGGGCGACGGUUGUCCCGGUUUAAGCGUGUAGGCUGGUUUUCCAGGCAAAUCCGGAAAAUCAAGGCUGAGGCGUGAUGACGAGGCACUACGGUGCUGAAGCAACAAAUGCCCUGCUUCCAGGAAAAGCCUCUAAGCAUCAGGUAACAUCAAAUCGUACCCCAAACCGACACAGGUGGUCAGGUAGAGAAUACCAAGGCGCUUGAGAGAACUCGGGUGAAGGAACUAGGCAAAAUGGUGCCGUAACUUCGGGAGAAGGCACGCUGAUAUGUAGGUGAAGUCCCUUGCGGAUGGAGCUGAAAUCAGUCGAAGAUACCAGCUGGCUGCAACUGUUUAUUAAAAACACAGCACUGUGCAAACACGAAAGUGGACGUAUACGGUGUGACGCCUGCCCGGUGCCGGAAGGUUAAUUGAUGGGGUCAGCGCAAGCGAAGCUCUUGAUCGAAGCCCCGGUAAACGGCGGCCGUAACUAUAACGGUCCUAAGGUAGCGAAAUUCCUUGUCGGGUAAGUUCCGACCUGCACGAAUGGCGUAAUGAUGGCCAGGCUGUCUCCACCCGAGACUCAGUGAAAUUGAACUCGCUGUGAAGAUGCAGUGUACCCGCGGCAAGACGGAAAGACCCCGUGAACCUUUACUAUAGCUUGACACUGAACAUUGAGCCUUGAUGUGUAGGAUAGGUGGGAGGCUUUGAAGUGUGGACGCCAGUCUGCAUGGAGCCGGCCUUGAAAUACCACCCUUUAAUGUUUGAUGUUCUAACGUGGACCCGUGAUCCGGGUUGCGGACAGUGUCUGGUGGGUAGUUUGACUGGGGCGGUCUCCUCCUAAAGAGUAACGGAGGAGCACGAAGGUUGGCUAAUCCUGGUCGGACAUCAGGAGGUUAGUGCAAUGGCAUAAGCCAGCUUGACUGCGAGCGUGACGGCGCGAGCAGGUGCGAAAGCAGGUCAUAGUGAUCCGGUGGUUCUGAAUGGAAGGGCCAUCGCUCAACGGAUAAAAGGUACUCCGGGGAUAACAGGCUGAUACCGCCCAAGAGUUCAUAUCGACGGCGGUGUUUGGCACCUCGAUGUCGGCUCAUCACAUCCUGGGGCUGAAGUAGGUCCCAAGGGUAUGGCUGUUCGCCAUUUAAAGUGGUACGCGAGCUGGGUUUAGAACGUCGUGAGACAGUUCG
RNAcentral lists this ribosomal RNA (2174 nucleotides) under Shigella sonnei. RNAcentral describes it as "partial 23S ribosomal RNA". It matches the Rfam family "Bacterial large subunit ribosomal RNA", at positions 474 to 2633 of the family's 2925-position model. The record is from RNAcentral. Lineage: Bacteria; Pseudomonadati; Pseudomonadota; Gammaproteobacteria; Enterobacterales; Enterobacteriaceae.